AAUGAAUUUUACUUUUUAGUAAAAAGGCUAAAAUACAUCUUUUAGACAAGAAGACCCUAUAAAACUUUAUAUUUUUUUUGUUUUUGAUUAAAGGGAAAAAUAUUACACUGGGGCGGUGAAGAAAUUAGGCUUUCUUUGAAAAAAUAAACGAACUUGUUUUAAUACCUAGAAAUUUUAAAAUAGAAAUAAGUUACUUUAGGGAUAACAGCUUAAUUCACUUAGAAAGUUCUAAUUGACAAGUGAGUUUAUGACCUCGAUGUUGAAUUAAAAUACCUUUUGUUGCGCAAAAGCUUAAAAAGGAGGUCUGUUCGACCUUUAAAAUUUUCCAUGAUCUGAGUUCAAAUCGA
Molecule: ribosomal RNA, 347 nt
Filed under: Androctonus crassicauda
Lineage: Eukaryota; Metazoa; Arthropoda; Arachnida; Scorpiones; Buthidae
Description: partial 16S ribosomal RNA
Rfam family: Bacterial large subunit ribosomal RNA
Source: RNAcentral